CAGUAGCCGCGGUAAUACGGAGGGGGCUAGCGUUGUUCGGAAUUACUGGGCGUAAAGCGCACGUAGGCGGCUUUGUAAGUUAGAGGUGAAAGCCCGGAGCUCAACUCCGGAAUUGCCUUUAAGACUGCAGAGCUAGCAGGUGAGAGAGGUGAGUGGAAUUCCGAGUGUAGAGGUGAAAUUCGUAGAUAUUCGGAAGAACACCAGUGGCGAAGGCGGCUCACUGGCUCAUACUGGACGCUGAGGUGCGAAAGCGUGGGGAGCAAUCAGGAUUAGAGACCCGCGUAGUCCCUGUCUCUUAUAC
This 301-nucleotide ribosomal RNA is filed under the name uncultured bacterium. RNAcentral describes it as "partial 16S ribosomal RNA". It matches the Rfam family "Bacterial small subunit ribosomal RNA", at positions 509 to 807 of the family's 1533-position model. The record is from RNAcentral.